ACUCUUAGUACAGAGCAAGGGGCUGCUCAGGGUCUUCCCUGCACUGGUGGGUGGCCUUAGCUCCCCUGUGGCUUCCCUUGCUUAGGUUUCUGGAGGCAGUUUACUGAAUAAAUGUCACUUCCACAGAGACUUGCCAAGAGUUUAAAUAUGGGAGUCAGUUAACAGCACACACGUCAGUCCCAAGGCUCCUGAGAGAUGCUUCCUUUAGGGCAAAGUGGCUCAAAGACUCCUGUGCUGAAGGAGUAGGUGUGCGGUUGUCUCACUUCCUGUUCUGCUCCCUCUCAUGGCCCUUGCCUCUCUUCCAAGACACGCUCCAGGGUGGGUCAGAAGAAAAGACAGCUUGGCAAUGACUAAGAAGCCUUCUCUCCUCAGACAUGGUGGGAUGUACUCUGAUCUAAGCAGGCAUCUGGCCAGAGACCCACAGGGAGCUCUGUGGUUGGCCUCAGAUGACCUAGAGGACAAAGGGAGGUCAGUGACUCCUGUUGUCUGCGAGUGUGAUGCUGGAGGUGGAGGUGGGACAAAGCCAUCAUGUCUUUGAAGAAAGCUUCUGGCCUCAAGCCAGACUCAGGAUUUUGGAGACUCGAGCCUCUCCUGGACAUGUGCACCUUGACAGUAGCGGCUUCUAAUUGUCCUGUGAAGGGAAAUGAUGGAACAGGCUCUGGUCGGCUUUUCUGGGGACAGACAGAGAAGUGUGACUCCUGCCAAAGUCACGGGAUGCACACAAAGUCCAGAACCCGAACAGGAAAAUGCAGCAGGAAAGGACACCGCAGCAGCCACCAUCCUGGGGCUGCUGUGCACGGGGCAGUCCUGCCCCUGGAACUUGGCCAGAGGCCAGGCGAGUGCCCACAGCCCUUCUAGGGGCCUUUGUCACUGGCCUGCUUGCCCAGGUCUCCUUCAUCUCUGCUGCUGCCACACCUUUCAGGCCUGUUCUGGGUCUGAUGUGAUGCAGAACACUCUGCUCCGUCACUUGGGAAAUGGAAACUUCAUCACUAGCGUUUCCACCCCAAAGAACUAGACAGCACACUGGGAAGUUGCCAAAGGAAGGGACUUCAGCCUCCCAGGAGUUAACAACAUUUCUCCCCAGCUGUCCUCCCCUUGGUGCUCCUUUUCCUCCCUCCUCCUGCUCACAGCAGGCAGGGCCUGGAACCAGGAGCCAUGCUGCUGUGCUGUUGCCAGGGGAGCUGGGAGGCAGAUCAGAGCUAUGCAGGGGAAAGGCUCAGCCUGUCAAAGUGUCUGAGAUGAACCACCGCCAUCCCCGUGCAGCUGGGCUCCAUGUGUCUCAAGGCUCUUGUUCUGCGCCUGAGAACAGGGAAACCCAGCGAGGUUCAAGGGCACACUCGCUAUUCAUCAGUCAGGGGUUCUUGACGGUCCUGCCUCUCCCAGAGAUGGGUUCCCCCCUUCCUCUUUCUCUCCCUCCUGUGACACAAUCCUGGGUGCCUAUGGUGAGGACUGCACACCCCCUCCCUACUGCUCCCCCCCAAACCCUGAAUCAACUCUUAUUAAGGAGGCCAGGCAGGACAGAGACAAUGGCUUCAAGAAAUCAUUCAGGCAGGACCCCAGCCACAUUCGCCUGCCCUUCACUCCCAGUGCCCCUGUAGAUCCCACUCUGCAGUGAUUCAGGGCACCCUUGGGCCCCCAGCUUGCAUAUGCUUAGACAGGAGCAGGCCACUAGGUGCUGCCCUACACAACAGGCCAGUGCACUAUUCUCAGUGUUAUUCUCAGUGGCCCCUUGGUCCCUCUGUCCCACUGGCUGGAUAUUUUUGUGCAGUUGGCUGGAAAGUAGAAACUGUACAAUAUUUUCUGAAAUGUGGUAAUAUCAAAAUGUAAAAGACAUAUAUACUUGAUUACUAAUCUCAUCCAGAUACACUGGAAAUGUUUGCUAAGAAGCAUGGACAAAGAGCUGUGGUUGAAGGAAUGAGUCAUUCCUUUCUAUGGAGUACCGCAGAGGCAGCUCGUGCAGGCUGAUAGGGAAGGCUCCAAUAUACUCAAGUGCAGAAUAAAGUACAAACGGUCAAGUAAAGGACAAACGUGUUCCUGUUUGUAUAUACCUAAAGUCAGUCACGGACUCGGGAGUGAGCGCCAUGGUAAAAUGCACCCAGCAUGCAUACAAGAGGCCGAGAGCCAAGUAAAACUGUGUCAGCCACAAGAACGUCUGUAUGGAUGGCCCUGAAGCAAGCAUUGCACAGCAGCCUCCGGAAGCAGGAGGCAUUUCUUCCUUGUUUUUGUGUUUGUUUUCUCUCUGUGUUUGUGAAAAGGGAAAGGGUAGUUGUCACUUAAUAGGUAUAACUUCUCUCAGCCAAUGAAGGGUGUGCACUCUGAGACAAGGUGGUGAUGUGGCAGAGAAGUGUCUUGACAGUACUGGUGGCUUCUGGCCACUGGCGUUUCUCCAACCACAUGUCAUCAUUAUGGCUGCCACUGUUAAUCAAAAGCCCACUUAGUUCCA
Molecule: long non-coding RNA, 2443 nt
Organism: Rattus rattus (black rat)
Lineage: Eukaryota; Metazoa; Chordata; Mammalia; Rodentia; Muridae
Exons: 4
Source: RefSeq, a predicted model, not a curated record